This 71-nucleotide transfer RNA is filed under the name Paratimomenus flavocapitatus. Its description in RNAcentral is "tRNA-Met". Lineage: Eukaryota; Metazoa; Arthropoda; Insecta; Dermaptera; Forficulidae. The record is from RNAcentral.
AAGAAAAUCAGCUAAAUUAAGCUUUCGGGUUCAUAUUUCGAAUAUAGAGGUAAAUAAUCCUUUUUUUCCUA